AAAACGACUCUCGACAACGGAUAUCUCGGCUCUCGCAUCGAUGAAGAACGUAGCUAAAUGCGAUACUUGGUGUGAAUUGCAGAAUCCCGUGAACCAUCGAGUCUUUGAACGCAAGUUGCGCCCGAAGCCGUCAGGCCGAGGGCACGUCUGCCUGGGCGUCACGCAUCGCGUCGCCCCCC
This 179-nucleotide ribosomal RNA is filed under the name Lobelia aberdarica. RNAcentral's name for it is "5.8S ribosomal RNA". The stretch from base 6 to 161 matches the Rfam family "5.8S ribosomal RNA". From Rfam's summary of the family: 5.8S ribosomal RNA (5.8S rRNA) is a component of the large subunit of the eukaryotic ribosome. It is transcribed by RNA polymerase I as part of the 45S precursor that also contains 18S and 28S rRNA. The record is from RNAcentral. RNAcentral also lists the same sequence under 6 other names. Lineage: Eukaryota; Viridiplantae; Streptophyta; Magnoliopsida; Asterales; Campanulaceae.